This 253-nucleotide ribosomal RNA is filed under the name uncultured bacterium. RNAcentral's name for it is "partial 16S ribosomal RNA". It matches the Rfam family "Bacterial small subunit ribosomal RNA", at positions 524 to 776 of the family's 1533-position model. The record is from RNAcentral.
UACGGGGGGGGCAAGCGUUGUUCGGAAUUACUGGGCGUAAAGGGCUCGUAGGCGGCCAACUAAGUCGGACGUGAAAUCCCCAGGCUCAACCUGGGAACUGUGUCCGAUACUGGAUGGCUUGAAUUCGGGAGAGGGAUGCAGAAUUCCAGGUGUAGCGGUGAAAUGCGUAGAUAUCUGGAGGAAUACCGGUGGCGAAGGCGGCAUCCUGGACCGACAUUGACGCUGAGGAGCGAAAGCUAGGGGAGCAAACGGG